This 475-nucleotide ribosomal RNA is filed under the name unidentified nematode Sourhope farm. RNAcentral describes it as "SSU rRNA". It matches the Rfam family "Eukaryotic small subunit ribosomal RNA", at positions 58 to 529 of the family's 1831-position model. The record is from RNAcentral. Lineage: Eukaryota; Metazoa; Nematoda.
UAUAAGUAUAACCUGCCAGACAGGGAAACUGCGUACGGCUCAUUACACCAGCUGUAAUUUACUUGACCUUGACCACCUACUUGGAUAACUGUGGUAAUUCUAGAGCUAAUACAUGCACCAAAGCUCCGAUCCUCGCGGAGAGGAGCGCAUUUGUUCGCCACAAAACCAAGCGCCUUCACAGGCGUUCAGUGUUGACUCAGAACAACUCAGCUGAUCGCACGGUCUCGUACCGGCGACGUGUCUUUCAAGUGUCUGCCUUAUCAACUUUCGAUGGUAGUGUACCUGACUACCAUGGUGAUGACGGGUAACGGAGGAUAAGGGUUCGACUCCGGAGAAGGGGCCUGAGAAAUGGCCACUACGUCUAAGGAUGGCAGCAGGCGCGCAAAUUACCCACUCUCAACAUGAGGAGGUAGUGACGAGAAAUAACGAGACUGUUCUCACAUGAGGCCAGUUAUUGGAAUGGGUACAAUUUAAA